AAUUGACGGGACCCCGCACAAGCGGUGGAUCAUGUUGUUUAAUUCGAUGAUACGCGAAGAACCUUACCAGGUCUUGACAUCCCUUGCAAAGCUAUGGAGACAUAGUGGAGGUUAUCAAGGAGACAGGUGGUGCAUGGUUGUCGUCAGCUCGUGUCGUGAGAUGUUGGGUUAAGUCCCGCAACGAGCGCAACCCUUAUUGCUAGUUACCACCAUUAAGUUGGGGACUCUAGCGAGACUGCCAGUGAUAAACUGGAGGAAGGUGGGGAUGACGUCAAAUCAUCAUGCCCCUUAUGACCUGGGCUACAAACGUGAUACAAUGGCUGAAACAAAGGGCAGCGAAGCAGUGAUGUGGAGCGAAACCCAAAAAAGCAGUCUCAGUUCGGAUUGAAGUCUGCAACUCGACUUCAUGAAGUUGGAAUCGCUAGUAAUCGUAGAUCAGAACGCUACGGUGAAUACGUUCUCGGGGUUU
RNAcentral lists this ribosomal RNA (469 nucleotides) under uncultured Acholeplasma sp. Its description in RNAcentral is "bacterial SSU rRNA". It matches the Rfam family "Bacterial small subunit ribosomal RNA", at positions 908 to 1382 of the family's 1533-position model. The record is from RNAcentral. Lineage: Bacteria; Bacillati; Mycoplasmatota; Mollicutes; Acholeplasmatales; Acholeplasmataceae.